CAAUAGCGUAUAUUAAAGCUGUUGCGGUUAAAAAGCUCGUAGUUGGAUUUCUGUCAAGGACAACUGGUCCGCCCUCCGGGUGAGCACAUAGUUUGGUCUUGGCAUCUUGCUGGAAGCUGUUGCUGCACUUGGCUGUGUGGCGCAGCGUCCAGCACUUUCACUUUGAGGAAAUUGGAGUGUUUCAAGCAGGAACAUGCCUUUGGACACAGUAGCAUGGAAUAAUUAGAUUGGGCUUUUGCUCCAAUUUGACGGUUUCUGGAGCUGAGGUGAGAAUUAAUGGGGAUUGUUGGGGGCAUCCGAAUUUAGCCGUCAGAGGUGAAAUUCUUGGAUCUGCUAAAGACGGACAACUGCGAAAGCGUUUGCCCAGGAUGUUUUCAUUGA
This 381-nucleotide ribosomal RNA is filed under the name uncultured eukaryote. RNAcentral's name for it is "partial 18S ribosomal RNA". It matches the Rfam family "Eukaryotic small subunit ribosomal RNA", at positions 592 to 976 of the family's 1831-position model. The record is from RNAcentral.